CAAGUACUGGUCUCAGCAGAUUGAGGAGAGCACCACAGUGGUCACCACACAGUCUGCGGAGGUUGGAGCUGC
Molecule: microRNA precursor, 72 nt
Filed under: Chlorocebus sabaeus (green monkey)
Lineage: Eukaryota; Metazoa; Chordata; Mammalia; Primates; Cercopithecidae
Description: mir-622 microRNA precursor family
Rfam family: mir-622 microRNA precursor family
Source: Rfam by way of RNAcentral